UGGUAACAGCAGUAGGUCCCCUGGCUGUAGGUAGCAGGUCCUCAACUGAUCUCAAUAAGAAUGAAGAUAUCCAUUGGAGAAUUCUUCAUGUUCUUUUGGCUGCAGCUGGACUGUGUCAGCCAAGGAGGGGAAGUGAAUCAGCAUCCUCCUACCCUGAGUGUCGAGGAAGGAAAUACCUUUGUCAUCACCUGUUCAUACUCAGACAGUAUUUUAAGCUACUUUCCAUGGUAUAAGCAAGAAGCUGGAAGAGGUCCCCAACUUAUUAUAGGCAUUCGUUCAAAUGAGAAUGAAAAGCAGCAUGAAAGACUUACUGUUUUAUUGGAUAAGACAGCCAGAAAUUUCUCCCUGCACAUCAAAAACUCCCAGCCUGGAGACUCAGCUGUGUACUUCUGUGCAGCAAGUACACAUUGCUUCUUCAGCACCUACAACCUGUAUGCAAACUUGAAAAUGCAGCACCCCUCACCCCCACCACCUUGGGACAGUCCUAGAAGUAUAGCAUGUCAUUUUGCUUGUCUGCAAGUGGAAACUAAUGUGUUGUAUGUUAAAAACACAUAAUAAGAAGGUUAGUUUCAAGAUGACCAGAAAAUGUUUGAACAUUCUGUUGAUGACUGUUGUGUAAUGGAUUGUUGAAGGGACUUAGUAAUGUUUUAUUUUGAAAUCAAGGUUUAAAGGCUACUUUACACUUGAUAUUUAGAUAACCCUUCUAUA
This is a non-coding RNA of Artibeus jamaicensis (Jamaican fruit-eating bat), 708 nucleotides long. The record is from the annotation of a RefSeq genome assembly. NCBI's taxonomy places the organism in Eukaryota, Metazoa, Chordata, Mammalia, Chiroptera, Phyllostomidae.